This 254-nucleotide ribosomal RNA is filed under the name uncultured bacterium. RNAcentral describes it as "partial 16S ribosomal RNA". It matches the Rfam family "Bacterial small subunit ribosomal RNA", at positions 524 to 776 of the family's 1533-position model. The record is from RNAcentral.
UACGGAGGGUGCGAGCGUUGUCCGGAAUCACUGGGCGUAAAGGGCGCGUAGGUGGCCCGCGCAAGCGUGCGGUGAAAGCCCGGGGCUCAACCCCGGGUCGGCCGUGCGGACUGCGGGGCUGGAGCACUGUAGGGGCGGGUGGAAUUCCGGGUGUAGCGGUGGAAUGCGUAGAGAUCCGGAAGAACACCGGUGGCGAAGGCGGCCCGCUGGGCAGUUGCUGACACUGAGGCGCGACAGCGUGGGGAGCAAACAGG